RNAcentral lists this ribosomal RNA (497 nucleotides) under uncultured bacterium. Its description in RNAcentral is "partial 16S ribosomal RNA". It matches the Rfam family "Bacterial small subunit ribosomal RNA", at positions 28 to 507 of the family's 1533-position model. The record is from RNAcentral.
GAUGGACGCUGGCGGCGUGCCUAAUACAUGCCAGUCGAGCGAACGGACGAGAAGCUUGCUUUUCUGAUGUUAGCGGCGGACGGGUGAGUAACACGUGGAUAACCUACCUAUAAGACUGGGAUAACUUCGGGAAACCGGAGCUAAUACCGGAUAAUAUUUUGAACCGCAUGGUUCAAAAGUGAAAGACGGUCUUGCUGUCACUUAUAGAUGGAUCCGCGCUGCAUUAGCUAGUUGGUAAGGUAACGGCUUACCAAGGCAACGAUGCAUAGCCGACCUGAGAGGGUGAUCGGCCACACUGGAACUGAGACACGGUCCAGACUCCUACGGGAGGCAGCAGUAGGGAAUCUUCCGCAAUGGGCGAAAGCCUGACGGAGCAACGCCGCGUGAGUGAUGAAGGUCUUCGGAUCGUAAAACUCUGUUAUUAGGGAAGAACAUAUGUGUAAGUAACUGUGCACAUCUUGACGGUACCUAAUCAGAAAGCCACGGCUAACUACGUG